UCCCUGGUGGUUCAGCGGCUAAGACUCUGAGGUCUCAACGCAGGGGCCUGGGUUCAAUUCCUGGUCGGGGAA
This 72-nucleotide transfer RNA is filed under the name Bos taurus (domestic cattle). It matches the Rfam family "tRNA". From Rfam's summary of the family: Transfer RNA (tRNA) molecules are approximately 80 nucleotides in length. Lineage: Eukaryota; Metazoa; Chordata; Mammalia; Artiodactyla; Bovidae. The record is from Rfam by way of RNAcentral.